Molecule: microRNA precursor, 119 nt
Filed under: Picea abies (Norway spruce)
Lineage: Eukaryota; Viridiplantae; Streptophyta; Pinopsida; Pinales; Pinaceae
Description: miR162a stem-loop (pab-MIR162a)
Gene: pab-MIR162a
Source: miRBase by way of RNAcentral
GCAGUGAGGCUGGAAGCAGGGUUUUAUCGAUCCCUUCCUGCUAGUGCAUCCAGGGUUUAGAUUUUACCGCAGUUAACAGGCAUGGGUCGAUAAACCUCUGCAUCCGGCUUGUUCCCUGU